This 492-nucleotide ribosomal RNA is filed under the name uncultured bacterium. RNAcentral's name for it is "partial 16S ribosomal RNA". It matches the Rfam family "Bacterial small subunit ribosomal RNA", at positions 29 to 507 of the family's 1533-position model. The record is from RNAcentral.
AGUGAACGCUGGCGGCAUGCCUAACACAUGCAAGUCGAACGGCAGCACAGUAAGAGCUUGCUCUUCCGGGUGGCGAGUGGCGGGCGGGUGAGGAAUACAUCCGAAUCUGCUUUUUCGUGCGCGAUAACGUCGGGAAACUUACGCCAAUACCGCAUACGACCUACGGGGGAAAGCAGGGGACCUUCGGACCUUGCGCGAUUGAAUGAGCCGAUGUCGGAUUAGCUAGUUGGCGGGGUAAAGGCCCACCAAGGCGACGAUCCGUAGCUGGUCUGAGAGGAUGAUCAGCCACACUGGAACUGAGACACGGUCCAGACUCCUACGGGAGGCAGCAGCGGGGAAUAUUGGACAAUGGGCGCAAGCCUGAUCCAGCCAUACCGCGUGAGUGAAGAAGGCCUUCGGGUUGUAAAGCCCUUUUGUUGGGAAAGAAAAGCAGCAGGUUAAUACCCCGCGGUUCUGACGGUACCGGAAGAAUAAGCACCGGCUAACUACGUG